UACGUAGGGCGCAAGCGUUGUCCGGAUUUAUUGGGCGUAAAGAGCUCGUAGGCGGUCCGUCACGUCGGCUGUGAAAACCCGAGGCUCAACCUCGGGCCUGCAGUCGAUACGGGCAGACUAGAGUGCGGUAGGGGAGACUGGAAUUCCUGGUGUAGCGGUGAAAUGCGCAGAUAUCAGGAGGAACACCGGUGGCGAAGGCGGGUCUCUGGGCCGUGACUGACGCUGGAGGAGCGAAAGCCGUGGGGAGCAAACAGG
RNAcentral lists this ribosomal RNA (255 nucleotides) under uncultured bacterium. RNAcentral describes it as "partial 16S ribosomal RNA". It matches the Rfam family "Bacterial small subunit ribosomal RNA", at positions 524 to 776 of the family's 1533-position model. The record is from RNAcentral.